UACGGAGGGGGCUAGCGUUGUUCGGAAUUACUGGGCGUAAAGCGCACGUAGGCGGCUUUGUAAGUUAGAGGUGAAAGCCCAGGGCUCAACCCUGGAAUUGCCUUUAAGACUGCAUCGCUUGAAUCAUGGAGAGGUGAGUGGAAUUCCGAGUGUAGAGGUGAAAUUCGUAGAUAUUCGGAAGAACACCAGUGGCGAAGGCGACUCACUGGACAUGUAUUGACGCUGAGGUGGCGAAAAGCGUCGGGGAGCAAACAGG
Molecule: ribosomal RNA, 256 nt
Filed under: uncultured bacterium
Lineage: Bacteria
Description: partial 16S ribosomal RNA
Rfam family: Bacterial small subunit ribosomal RNA
Source: RNAcentral